RNAcentral lists this ribosomal RNA (114 nucleotides) under Macrococcus brunensis. RNAcentral describes it as "partial 16S ribosomal RNA". It matches the Rfam family "Bacterial small subunit ribosomal RNA", at positions 1428 to 1533 of the family's 1533-position model. RNAcentral also lists the same sequence under 1 other name. Lineage: Bacteria; Bacillati; Bacillota; Bacilli; Caryophanales; Staphylococcaceae. The record is from RNAcentral.
CGGUGGAGUAACCUUUUAGGAGCUAGCCGUCGAAGGUGGGACAGAUGAUUGGGGUGAAGUCGUAACAAGGUAGCCGUAUCGGAAGGUGCGGCUGGAUCACCUCCUUUCUAAGGA